GUUGGAAUCUCUAAUUCUAAUGUUUCAUUACCCUGCUGGGUAACAUCAUCAAUGCAGCCUCCAAUGAAGCACCGUUGUGCUUUCCUACUGGUUAUUUAAACUCUGAAGCCUGUUGAUCUCGGAACAAUGAACCAGUUCAGCGAGCCAAGCAACCAUGACAUCCACAACCUGAGCUACAAUUCUACACAAAACCUUGGAAUCGCUAACAAAGGAAAACAACUUCCCCAUAUCUAGUCUGUCAACUCCAGGAGAGGUCACAGCUAUCUGCAAACCCCUGAGUUACUGCAACAGCGGGUCCUCAUCCGAAUAUUCGAUCCACGGAGAAAGCUGCCCGUGACCCACAUCCUGGACAGUACAGGCACAAACUCUCUGGCUGUGAAUGUCCUGAGCGAAGAUUUGACAUUGGUGAUGGUUUGAGUUGUUCUAACAUCCAUCUCAACAUCAAGAUUGUUCAGAUGGCUCCCCAUAGACAUCAAAUAAAUCAUUACAGGAUAUGAACGAAAAGAAGAGUAACCGUUCAGAGAGAGUGGUCUGUGUGUAGAAGGAACUUCUAGAGGAAGUGGUGGAUACAGUUACAGUUGCAAUAUUUAAAAGACAUUGAGCUUGGUGUUGAGCAUUUCAACAGAAGGAUUUAAGAAGCAUUUGGUUAUGGAAAUAAAGAAGCCAAGCCAAGGUUAUUCUGGAAUUGGGUAAUGCUUUGGCCACUGAAAAAUGACAAAUAUUGAGACCAGAUAUGGAAUGCCUUGACCACCUUAAAGAGAACAUGGACCUUGACUCAUUUUCAUCAGUUACACUCAACUUCACAGCCAGACAGUGAGGAGGAAGGAGAUGGAGUUUGGGAAAGGAAGAUGAAAGGAUGAAAAUGAUGGAUAUCUUGGUGCAAACGAGAUGAAACAAAAGGCUAAUCAAAGACACCGGAGCAAAUAUGAUGGGUGAAGCACAGGAAGUGAUUUUGUGACAGAACUUAGGCGACAUGGUAGCUCAAAUGUUACCACUGCUGCCUCAUAGUAUCAGGGGCCUGAGUACAAUUUCAGCCUCAGGCAACUGUCUGUGUGAAGUUUACACAUUUUCUUUGUAUAUGCAGGGUUCCUACAGGUGCUGCAAUUUCCUCCCACAGCCCAAAGAUUCGCAGGUUCAGUUGGAUUGGCCAUAAUAAAUAAAUUGCCCCAGAGUGUCCAGGAUGUGCCAGUUGGGUUGGUUAGCCAUAGGAAGCACAGGAUUACAGGGAUAGGGGAAUGGAUCUAUGUGGGAGGCUCUUCGAAACAUUAGUGUGGGCUCAAUGUGUUGAAAUGCCUGCUUCCAUUCUAAGGAUUCUAAAUCAUCUUCUAUGGAUUGAUGAUGCAACUCAUGGAUUUGGAACAGGCAGAAGAAGCUGAUAAAUCUUCAAAGACAUCAUGUGUGUCAUAAACCAAAGAAAACCCCUUCAAAAUAUAAAAUGAAGAUAGUCUGGACUCUACAGUUUUUCUAUUUUAAAGAUCAGUAUGAGGUAUUCUGUUCUAGUUUAAAAUUACUUCAUUAAUAUAUUCAAAUUUAAGCAAAGCAUACUUUAUUCUGAGGAAGGGUCACUCAACUCAAAAUGUUAAUCUGAUUUCUCUGCACAACUUUUUGCCAGAUGUUCUGAGUUUUUCCAGCAAUUUCUGCUUUUGUUUCUGAUUUACAGGAUCCACAGUUCUUUCAGUUGUUCUUUAUUUUUUGCAUUUUAGUUAAAAUACAGGCAAAAUAAAAAGAAAAGAAUUAACUGUAACUCUAUUGAAAUUCUUAACAAAAUAAAAUAUAAUUUAACAAUUACAAAUGAACUGUUCCAAUACAGUAAUAUUUCAUUACAAACACCAUUCGCAAAGGAAAAUCAGUAAAAUGGACCAUCUCCUAUACAAUACUAGCAGCAGGAAAAGAAUCCCCUGCUUUUAGCUGUAACAGGGAAAGGAAUAAGAGCUUCCACACCCAGCUUCAAUACCCCAGCAACCGCAGAAAGCUAAAACUAAAAAUCCUAUUUCUGUGGGAGCUUCACCCAACCUGUUCAGGCUGCUUCUAUUGUACCAACUUAAAAAAAUGCUGUUUACUUUAUUGAGCAGACUGCUCAGUGCCUCUGUCUCAACCUUUCUUCAUAAAUUGAAAAAAAAAGGACAAAAUACACCUCUUAAAACAUGGUAAUGUCACAGGAGUGGAGACGACAAGAGUUUAGCAGAAUUGAGAGAAAAGCAAUUGUAAAUUGCAGGGCAAUGAAGUGAAGGACAAAGAUCUAGAGGAAUGUGAUUGUUCAGUGAAGUACUGAGGGGAGGAAUCACUCAAAGCAGUUGCUGACACAAUAAAUCUCACCGAUAAAACAAGCUUAAAAGGAUGGCGCUUCUUGAAGAUUGUAAAUAAAAGUCAGGAGGAACAGAAGAGAAUUGUGAUUUAUAAAGAGAAAAUCUGACAAACAAAGAAGGUGGAGAAUUCAGAACAGGGCCCUGCAACACAAACCAUUCCAUUGCCAAAAUGAUUUGAACAAAACAUGCAAUGGUAUUCAGUCCAGUAAUAAACAAGGUUUUCUUAAGUUGGAAAAAUGACUGAGUCAGAGGAAGAAGGAGGGAAGGUCAUGGUAGACUAAUGGUUUUUGGAGGAAGGGCAUUAUGUUUAUUUAUGGAGUGCCAAUGAAAGAAGCAAAGAAACAUAGAAACUGCUGAAGACACAGGUGCUGGAUAUUUAGCUUUUACAAAAGGCUCCAUCUGAAGGUUCACUCUGGAGCCAAUGAUAACAGAAGGCCAAUUUGACAACCAGCAAAGGAGUAAAGACUUAUUCAGGAAAUGGUAAGUUAUUGCAAAAUAUUGGACUCACCUGUUUCCAGAUCUGUUCUAAUAAAACAGUUCAGGCAUUUACGUUCAAAUUCUAACUGUAUUGAACAAUGACAGAAAAGGGGUUAAUAUGAAGUUGUGGUGGAAUCUACACUAUCAUUAGAAGAAAGUCUGUACUCUUGCUUUGUUGAGGUUGUAAAUUUCAUUAGCUUCCACCAUCUCUAUUGUAAUGCCACAGAGAAAAUUUAAUAAAUCUGUGUCUACUUUAUUUGACAAUGCAUUCUUCCCCUUGUAAUUUUGCAAAGCUCUUUAAUAAAAUCAGUCUCGCAUUUCA
Long non-coding RNA from Stegostoma tigrinum, 3105 nucleotides. RefSeq lists it as uncharacterized. NCBI's taxonomy places the organism in Eukaryota, Metazoa, Chordata, Chondrichthyes, Orectolobiformes, Stegostomatidae. The record is from RefSeq and is a predicted model, not a curated record. The transcript has 7 exons.